GACGAACGCUGGCGGCGUGCUUAACACAUGCAAGUCGAACGGAAAGGCCCUGCUUUUGUGGGGUGCUCGAGUGGCGAACGGGUGAGUAACACGUGAGUAACCUGCCCUUGACUUUGGGAUAACUUCAGGAAACUGGGGCUAAUACCGGAUAGGAGCUCCUGCUGCAUGGUGGGGGUUGGAAAGUUUCGGCGGUUGGGGAUGGACUCGCGGCUUAUCAGCUUGUUGGUGGGGUAGUGGCUUACUAAGGCUUUGACGGGUAGCCGGCCUGAGAGGGUGACCGGCCACAUUGGGACUGAGAUACGGCCCAGACUCCUACGGGAGGCAGCAGUGGGGAAUAUUGCACAAUGGGCGGAAGCCUGAUGCAGCAACGCCGCGUGCGGGAUGACGGCCUUCGGGUUGUAAACCGCUUUCGCCUGUGACGAAGCGUGAGUGACGGUAAUGGGUAAAGAAGCACCGGCUAACUACGUG
This 468-nucleotide ribosomal RNA is filed under the name uncultured bacterium. RNAcentral's name for it is "partial 16S ribosomal RNA". It matches the Rfam family "Bacterial small subunit ribosomal RNA", at positions 28 to 507 of the family's 1533-position model. The record is from RNAcentral.